UGACCAACCAGAAACAUCGACGGGUGAGA
This 29-nucleotide non-coding RNA is filed under the name Homo sapiens (human). Lineage: Eukaryota; Metazoa; Chordata; Mammalia; Primates; Hominidae. The record is from RNAcentral.